Molecule: ribosomal RNA, 272 nt
Filed under: Enterobacter sp. ENT03
Lineage: Bacteria; Pseudomonadati; Pseudomonadota; Gammaproteobacteria; Enterobacterales; Enterobacteriaceae
Description: partial 16S ribosomal RNA
Rfam family: Bacterial small subunit ribosomal RNA
Source: RNAcentral
CCGCCUGGGGAGUACGGCCGCAAGGUUAAAACUCAAAUGAAUUGACGGGGGCCCGCACAAGCGGUGGAGCAUGUGGUUUAAUUCGAUGCAACGCGAAGAACCUUACCUACUCUUGACAUCCACGGAACUUGGCAGAGAUGCCUUGGUGCCUUCGGGAACCGUGAGACAGGUGCUGCAUGGCUGUCGUCAGCUCGUGUUGUGAAAUGUUGGGUUAAGUCCCGCAACGAGCGCAACCCUUAUCCUUUGUUGCCAGCGAUUCGGUCGGGAACUCA